AAUAGAUACCAGGUAGUCCACGCCCUAAACGAUGUCAACUAGCUGUUGGGGUCUUCGGACCUUGGUAGCGCAGCUAACGCGUGAAGUUGACCGCCUGGGGAGUACGGUCGCAAAAUUAAAACUCAAAGGAAUUGACGGGGACCCGCACAAGCGGUGGAUGAUGUGGAUUAAUUCGAUGCAACGCGAAAAACCUUACCUACCCUUGACAUGUCUGGAAUCCUGAAGAGAUUUGGGAGUGCUCGCAAGAGAACCGGAACACAGGUGCUGCAUGGCUGUCGUCAGCUCGUGUCGUGAGAUGUUGGGUUAAGUCCCGCAACGAGCGCAACCCUUGUCAUUAGUUGCUACGAAAGGGCACUCUAAUGAGACUGCCGGUGACAAACCGGAGGAAGGUGGGGAUGACGUCAAGUCCUCAUGGCCCUUAUGGGUAGGGCUUCACACGUCAUACAAUGGUCGGGACAGAGGGUCGCCAACCCGCGAGGGGGAGCCAAUCCCAGAAACCCGAUCGUAGUCCGGAUCGCAGUCUGCAA
This 527-nucleotide ribosomal RNA is filed under the name uncultured bacterium. RNAcentral describes it as "bacterial SSU rRNA". It matches the Rfam family "Bacterial small subunit ribosomal RNA", at positions 777 to 1310 of the family's 1533-position model. The record is from RNAcentral.